AAAGUAGUUGUGACUAUGGACGUGGAAGGAAGAAAACAAUCAGAUACUUUUCUUUUUAAAUGUGAUUAAAUAAACAACAGAAAUAAAGUUUAUACUCUCUUUAUAGAAAUUGUUUUAAAAGAACACAAAGAAGAAUGUUGUCUAACGUGAUUAACAACAUGUAGAAUGCGCUUAAAUCAUAUAUAAUAAAAAUUAAGUGAAAAGCGAAAAGAAGGUUUCCAAUAAUGGUAGAAAUAAAACUAAAACAUAAUUGACUAACUAUUUUAUAUAACUAUAAUAGUGAAAGCGAAAAUCCACAAAUGGAAUCGAAUAUUAUCAUCAACGAUGAAUACGAACACUUAGAUAAUUGUAUCGAAUAUAUCUUAGAAAAUGUGCUCUUUAAAGAAACGCAUCAAGACGUAGAAUAUAUGCAAUUGCAAGACGAUUACAAUUCUACCUUAAUAAGUAAAUGUCACUGCAGUGGGCUAAGCUGUCUUCGCGAUGUCGAUUGCAAUCAUGGAGGUAAUUAUGUGAAGGAUUCUCAAAGUGAAGAGCUUGUAUUAAAUCCGGAAAAGCUUCAAGAAUUAAUUUAUGAAUGCACUUCGUUAUGUGCUUGUGAGCAAAAGAAAUGUGUAAACCGUUUGGUACAGUAUGGACCCAGAAAUAAUUUGAAGAUCAUUUACUCCGAAAGAUAUCAAUCAAAAGGUUUGACAACUACUGAAACUAUACCAAAAGGGGCUUUUAUAUGUGAAUAUGCCGGUGAACUAUUAACAAGACAGGAAGCUCAAAAGCGUAUGCAAGAAAAUGAUACAAGACAAAGAAUGAAUUAUGUUUUAAGCCUUUGUGAGUACAUAUCGAAUGGUGGCGGAACAACGAAUAAAGUCUUAUUAACCACGGUCGAUCCGAGUCGGAAAGCCAUAUUUUCUAAGAAUUUUAUAAAAGCUGGCGAAGAACUUUGCUUUCAUUAUAAUGAAGGCAUAAUACAAAAAAAUCAACCUACAGCUCAAGGCCAAAAAGGGAUACUUUGUCUCUGUGGUGCCAAAAAUUGUGAAAAAUAUUUGCCCAAUUUUAAAAUUCAUUUCGACCAAUAUACAUAGAAUCUGCCGUUUGCAGAGAUGACAUGUUGUAUUAAGUGAGAAUGAAAUACGAAUGCAAUUUUGUACUUAAAAGAUGUGAAGAACGAUCAAUGGGGUAUGGAAAAUUUCAAUUGGACAUUUGAAUCGUGAACAAAUUAUCAAAUUUUGCGGGCCACGUGUUUCCCUUUAUUAAAUAUCACUACAGCAAAAAACAGCUGGAAGACUUAACAACCGAAAGUAGCUUUUUUAAUUUUCCCAAAAUUGUCGAUUUACGUAAAAUUGAAAAAAAAAAGGAUUUAAUGUGAAUGUAUAAUUUUACCUUAAAGGUUUGCCAAUGUCCUUUUAGGAAUGGCUGGAAUGUGUCUUAGAAAAAACACAGAAUGGGUAGUUAUGCCGAACGAUAAAAGUUCAUGCUAUUAUAUAUAGAAGAAGGUAAGUAAUAUUCCUUUUCUAUUGUGUGUCAAUAUUUGUUUUUUCAAAGUUAACUCCUUAAAAAAUAAAAAUAUAAUUGGCAAGUAAUUUAUUUCCGGGUAAAGUAGAUUACUGCGCUUUAGCCUUUCAUUAGUAACUUAUAGGGCGGGAAGGAUAAUUGUAGAAACUAGUUUUUGCGCUCCAUUCUACGCUCCUCUCAGGUGGCCUAACCAUAUCCAAUCUUGAUAUCUGUUUCUAGAAAUCUUAAAAUCGUAUGCACUUAUCAUUAAUCAAUUAAGAUAGACCUAGCUCAAAAGAAUUUAAAAAUUAAGGCAAAAAUAUCGUGUUUAUAGGUCAAUUUUUGUUUAUAGAAUGAAUUAGAUAUAUAUGCAAAAUUAUAGAAAAACUGGAAAACAUAAGGAAAAGCUUCCUCAAAGCAGAUGCGAUAAAGAUAAAAGUGCAAGGUUGAACAUUGCCCCAAAAGUUUUUAUAAAACAUAAGCCUGUAUUUGUUAUAAUAUCAUGGAAGUUAGUUGCAAAUGGUAGCUUUUCUACUUAAGAACUGUUCGGAAUUAUUAGCCCUUAUAUGGCAGUAUAGCGUUUGUUUGCAUUUUUAUAAUUUUCUUGCAGCGUAAAUGAAUAUAUUAUGAAGUUUUCUUUAUUAAUUUGAUUUUUGCCCUUACUGAUCCAUAAUUUGGCAAACUUAUCCUCAGUUUAUUAGUUCCUCUGAUGCGUCACCAAAAUAAUUUUUAAAGCUUAAUAUUAAUUAAAACAAGGUGGAUUUGCCUCAGCAAAAUUGUCCUCAAAACCAAAAACUUGUGAAAUUCUGACACCAAAUUAUUUAAGAGGAAACAACGAAUCCCACAAUUAGAAACGGUCUAUAAAAAUUCCACCGUGUUUCUUUAUUACAUUGUCGCCUAUGCCAAAUAUUCCUUUUUACUGCCGGUGUAUAUAAGCCUCUCAAAGUUUUUCAGGUAGCUGCCUUUGGAAUCGUUAGUGUGAUUGUGGAGCCGCACCGGGUAGCUGGACACAAGUACCAGCUGAACGUUGCGAUGCAAAUGGAAAAAUUGCUAAUAAACCUUUAGGAGCGAUUUUUAGUACUGAUCUUUUACAUACGCUUCCCGUAACAGGAGCCGCUAUACUUGGAGUAUGGAUUUUACUAAAACGGAAUCACAGUUACGUUACGUUUAAAGAGGCAUUGGAUGGAAAACGAGUAAACUGUGUGCUAUUGGAUAUGGCUCCUAUGGAAUAAAUGCUCUUUUUUUAUACACUAUGCCACUGCAGUUAAUCCUUUUUAAUCCUUUGAGCAUUAUGAUACAGACUGGAGAAAGCAAAUGGGAUAUUUAACGGUGCAUCCUACAGCUCCUAUCAGGAUCGAUCAAUUUUCGCUAAAUUGUAUUUGCUUCAAAUUUGCUUCC
Molecule: RNA transcript, 2883 nt
Organism: Glossina fuscipes
Lineage: Eukaryota; Metazoa; Arthropoda; Insecta; Diptera; Glossinidae
Gene name: histone-lysine N-methyltransferase SETMAR
Exons: 4
Source: RefSeq, a predicted model, not a curated record